This is a non-coding RNA of Rattus norvegicus (Norway rat), 4852 nucleotides long. Lineage: Eukaryota; Metazoa; Chordata; Mammalia; Rodentia; Muridae. The record is from RefSeq and is a predicted model, not a curated record.
AGCAAUGAACUGCAUGACUCUUCUCCCCUCGGGCUAGCCAUAGAGCGAUGCCCUGUGCCUCAGAGUCCUGCCCCCUUUCGGUCUGCCACAGAGCCUACCUCAAGUGUGGAGACAAUCAGAUGGAGGGACACCUCCCAGGCAUCAGGUACCAGAGAGGCUAGGACUGAGGCGAUGUUCCACUGUCUGACACAUUUGUGCCGCCAUGAUUUGUAAUUCACCCUCUGUUUUCUUAAGCUCCAUCUUGGUGAGAACCACAGAAGGCAUUGUUCUUAGAUGGGGACAGAAUUCAUGCUACCUUGACUUUAACUAAAAAAGUAGAGAAUCAAUAUUGGAUAAGAAAUAUCUGUUGGACAGUGUAACCAGAAUAAAAAAUGAGCACUUCGGCUCUCUCUCCUCCAGAACCUAUUGCAGUAGAGCCCAUUUAAAGGAACCAUUAACCCAUCUCUAGGAACCUUAAGGUCACUAUGGCCACUGCUGACACAAUAUCAUGUAUACAUGUAGUGUAUCACACAGUAUUUCAGUAACUUCCUAAGCCACUCUGAUACCCAUGGUCCACAGUCUUGGACAAACAAUCCCCACGUGUGACUCCUGUGCAUAUCUUUCAGGUCCACCAACGGGCCCUGCCAGAUGCCUCCUGACCCUCUCCUGGCUCUAAGCUUUGCUCUGCACUACUCCUGUGGGAAGCCUCGUUCUGAAAAUCUGCACCAAUGGCUACCCUGUCUGCUUCAGCCUGAACUAAAUAAAACUAACCAGAAAGCCAAAGCUGGGCCCUUGGCAGGAGGGUUACCCGUUCUUUUUCACCUCAGCUCCUUUAUGUGUCAUGCACUGAAGUAGGUGCUGAGGACACAAGGCAGACCCGGCCCCUGGCUCCUCUCAGGACCUUCUCCUCUGAUCUCUUAGUGCUCCCAGGCUAAUGCUGUCCAACAUAGAGUAGGUUUUAGCCCAAGGACAAGGGGUCUGGACAAAGUGGAGGAAACUGGGACUCAGCCCCAGAGAAGAACCCACUACUGCCUUCUGGACUCCAAGUUCGCUCCACCCUGGCAUCGCCUCUGAAGCCUCCAGACCUCCUCCCAGCAUCCCAGCAUCCGGUGUUACUGUUGGCUCCACUGCCUGCCUGCGGCCAGGGAUUGAAGGCGCUCUUAUUCCAAACGAGGCCAGUCAGCUAAAUUUCCAAAGCAAAGAUUGUUCCAUUUCUUCUCCUCUUUCCUCCUUUGCUCAAAGAACACACUCAUUUUGUAGAAAUGGGGCAGGCAAUUCAUAUUCUAAGGGUUAAAGUCUUCAUGGGGCACAGCAGGAGCUCAGGUGCUGGGAUGGAGGGAGGGGGCAACAGAAAGGGCUUUCAAUGCCGGGGAAGACAAAUCAGAAGCACUAAUCUUUACUCAUCCCUGUAUUCAUCCGAUUUCUCCACCUCCCUUCUCGUUCCUCCUCUAUUCCCCUCCCUCUACCUCCUGUUCUUUCAUUCAUCCGUCAGUUCACCCACUCAUGCAUACAUGCGUCAAAGCACACACGUUUCCUCAACAGGUAUCUAUUUAAUGUCUGCGCUGAGCCCUCUGCUGCACCGUAAGAAACUCGAGGAGGCUCCGUAGUCUCAGGUAUGGCAAGUGGAGCAGACAAUGACAGGUCUAGGGAGGAACUACGAAUGGCCAAGUAUCGCUGGUAAAUCUCCAGGCGGACAUUCACUGUGGAAGGCUCCUGGGAUGAGGUUAUCACUACUGUUUCCUCCUCAUGCCCUAGAUGGAAAGUCUAUGGUCUGCCUGCAGAAACUGACCUGUGUCCCAGACUGAGCGCUUGCUGUAGGACCAUCAAUUAAUCUCCUUUAAAAAUAUUUACUAAUUAAAUGCUUUUUACGCUAAAAAAAAUUUACUAUUGUGUAUUUAUUGAGGUAUUUUUGGAGGGCUUUCAGAAGCAAAAUGGACUAGAAAAUAUAGAGAAUUCCCCAAAAAUACCUUGCCCCUUUCUGAACUAACCACACCGGUGCCCUUUUCAUUGCCCAUUUGCAGAGGAGACUACUUACUGCGCAUGUACUAUGGGCCAGGACAGGUACAUCAUGGCCUCCAGCCUCUAUUUUAGCGCCACAAAAGCAGUAGAGAUUCUUGUCCUAAAUAUCCUCUGUGUUCUGUCUUAAGUCUUUUUGUCUAAAUUUUUUUUCUUUGAAAUGGAAAAAAAUAAUGACUGUCUCCCAGGGGGAGGGUUCAUGACGAUAAAAUAAGGUUGCAUACUUCGCUCCAGGCAUGGACUAAUUCAUAUUCUCUUCCGGUGAAAAACCAACGGGCCUCAUUCUAGGGCUUUGACUAUACUGUGUGCUCUGGGAGGAAAGAGAAAACUAGGGGUGUGAGGGGGUGCGUGUUUUCAAGAGCAUCAGGGGUACAGUGCUAAAUCAGGCCUGGGUGCCAGGUGACCUGGGGAGCAGAAGUAUGAAGGCUUCAGAGACCCACCAGAUUUCCACAGAGUUGUUCCCUAUUCCUGAACCAACCCAUGCAAGUGUAUCCCGGCAGUCCUCUGGCUGCUCUUGGCAAGGGCUCAGAGAGCUUGCAUGAGUCACAUCCACGUGGCUGCUGAAGAGGGGGGACAGCCUAUGCCCAGACUGGGCCACACUGGCUUGGAGAAACUGUUCCUGAAAGUCCCUGGCAGGGAGCAGGCUGCUAUGAGGCUGUUAACCUGUCAUGCAAACCUACCGGUAAACAAUCUGCGAUGAGAAUCCCAGAUGCUCAUACAUUCUGGAGCCCCAGCCACUCUUCCAGGUCUAGGUGGGAGCCAGCUUAAGGGAGCCCCGCCUAGGAGCAGAGACAGAGCGGCAGGUCCCUCAGCCGGCCAGCACCGAGACAGGGUGUUUCCUCAGAGUAUCAGACAGGCCGUGUUACAUGGGAAGGAGGAAGCCUGAGGGGUACCCAUGGCACACACAGAUCUCCUCUCACUGGGGGGUCUGUGUGUGCCGUCUAGACCAAGUAAUCCAGCCAUACCGUGGUGCCAGAGACAUGGGCGAGCCACGUGGUGCACUCAUGCUAGCACCUCAGUCAGGUCUGCUACUAGGCUGUGGGCUUGGGGGAGUGCCGAGUGCUCGCUGUAGAUUCACAGGAUUUAUUGACUUGUGGCGAGGAGUCUUGAGGAGCCAGAGGACAAAAUGGGGCACAUCUGGUGACCUGAUUUUUUUGUUUUCAUGCUCUUCGUUAAGGGCUUUGGCUGUUCUUGGGGCUGGAGGAAGAGGACGGGGAAAACAGGCAGGGGCAGGAGAGAGGGCAGAUGGGGGCAGGGAGUGCGGAGAGGAACGGGGCUGGCUUGGUCCCGAGAAAGCCUCUGCUCCUAGAUUGGGAAGAGCUUCAGUGAGGAAGCCGCAUGGACACCCUCAGCCGCACAUAUGUGUAACAAGGACCCAACAUGAGAUCUAUGCAGAUUCUCACGGAAACACGGGCAACACAGAUACGUAUAGCCGAAAUACCGCUGUCAGCUAUGCAAUGAACGCCCCAAGUCACUGCCAUGGGGACCUUUGUAGUGUAAUACCUUUCAAGACUAGAGGGUCCUACUGACCUCUAAGAUCUAAACGAAUGUGUCCAGAAGUAUUAUAAGCAAAUCUAAGUCUUCAUUUCCAGUUCCUAGCACUCUUAGAGGGCGCCCUCGCGUUAGAGGAACAAUUUGGGCCCAGCUCACCCCACUACUCCUGGUAGGCGACCUGUACCAUGAAGGUCUCCUUCAUCCAGACAGAGAACACAGUAGAAAAUCCCACAGGCUUCUGUGAUGUGGCAAGCUUUGCAAGUUACUUACACAACAGCAAACAAAAAAACCACUAACAAGAAUAACAAGAAGUUAUUUCUGGUCUUAGUUUCAAAAACCCACCAGAAGUUUUCGGAGCUCAGGACGAGACUUCCCAUAUUAUUCAGAAAGUCCUUCCCCUCUCCUCCGUGUCUCUCUUAGGGAUAAAACCCAAAUUCCUCUCAUUUCUUAGGUGGAGCAAUUUAGCCCUCUUCAUCCUCUGCUGCCACGCUUGGCUCCUGAGCUUGCUUUGCUGAGCCAAACCCCACAGGGAGUUCCGAAAACAGCCUCUGUGGCUUACUGAUUAAGUUUCUAGGACAGAGGCCAUCUGCCUUCCCCAUAUUCAUCUAUUAGAAACCCUCUAUGUCUUUUUCAGGCUGAGUACACACAUGCAGAUACACACGUGUCCACAAAAACACAGAACCCUGUGUACUUCCCCGCAUAGGUUAGACAGAAUUUUCGCAGCUCUCCCAGUCUACGCUAAGCCCCUUCUCCCAUACACACACCAAUCCUUGCCUUCAGAGCUCCCGGCAAUCCUCUAACCAAGAACUUGUUCAUCUAUUAAGUCAACAUUACUGAAAGACCGCCACAUGCCGGGUGUUCUUAUCCACUAGCACAAGACCGUGAACCCAGGAGUUCUGAACGUGGGUAGAGGGUUAGAGAGGAAUGAAAAAACAAGGUUAUCAUUGAAGGUACUUGGACUACUCAGUGACGCCAUUAGACCCCAGGCUUGUUCCACCGUCUGCUUCUCCACCCUCUACUCAUGGGAAGUUUGUGCUGAUUGUUCCCUCUCAGUGGCAGUGGGGAUUUCCUGCCUAAGCCUGGAGACUACACCAGAUGACCUCGUCCACUAUAGGAGAACGAGGCUCUGAGGAGGUCCGUGAACUCACCCUUCCUGUUUUCUGGUCUUCUUAGGACAGAUGGAGAGGAUGAGCUUGCUCCUUCCAGGGAGAGGAUAGCACAGUUCUCCUGUGUGCCUCACCCUCGCCGCCCUGCAGGAAAAUAGGUCUGGGUAAACUCAGGGGUUUGAGGGUAGCUGUCUAAAGACAGCUACAGUGUACUUAGAAAUAAUAAACAAAUGAAUGCUUUUUUUAAAAAAAAAAAA